UCCAUGCACGUAUACACCUCCUCCUUGUGUUGAGACUCAGCUGCUGAUGUGAUAGACUGAACGUCCUGGGCAUAUGCAUAGAGACACCUCGAGCUUCUUGGUCGGUUUACACGAUUUUUUACCCUUCCGGCAUAUUUUCAUCCCGCGAUCAAUCCCGAAUAUUUUUCGCUCCCGUUCUGAUGAGCUAAAUAUUUUUAAUAAACUCCAAUCUGAACUCUGACCUUGGCGGUAAAUAUUUCCUGAUCCUUCGGCUUCAUUGAAAACUUCCAUAAUACCGAAAUUAGGUUUUUCGUCCAAUUUCGGGUUUUCCUGUCGUUCUUCGAUCCCGUCGUGCGUGCUUCCCGUCAUGCUUAAUUCCCAUCAUGUUUCCAAUGUCUUCGAAAUAAUAUUCCGCUGAUACGAAGUUUCGGGGAAAAUUCGUGUUGAAGAAACGUCAUUCUUCCAAAACGUCGAGCUUCUAAACCGUCGUUCUUCCAAAAAUGUUAUGCUUCCAAAACGUCCGUCUAAACAAUCUAAGACAUCUUCUAACUAUGGCUGAGCAACUUAUUCGAAUCAUAGUUCACUAACGAUCACUUCUUCGCCCACCUCUACUUCGAAGGUUCUCGAUCGAUCCUUAUUGACCGUGCCUUGACCACCACAAAGAUACUCGACUAUUCUCUUUUUCUUUUCUUUUUUUUUGUUUUUUGUUUUUUUUUUAACGGGUUUCUACAUUCUGUAACACCCCCGAACCGUCCUAGGCAUAGGUCGACCCACCGGCCAACAAUCAAACAAGAACAUGACCGACGGACGACCCAAACCAAGUGUUAGAGAUUAGAGGCCAACCGGCCAGCCAACAAUCAAACAAGAACAUGACUGACCAUCCAACCCAACACCAUGGUCCGGAAGCGCUACGUGAUGGGCUAGAGACAACCCGGUCAGAGUCAUAAAAUUUACUCUACGACCUAGACCAGUUCGUCCACUAACACGUCCCGCUAACUUAAGGCUGAAGGCUUUGCAACCCUUACCUAGAGUUAGCAUUUUCCGUUAGAUCGAGGCCUAAG
This 1040-nucleotide long non-coding RNA is filed under the name Brassica rapa (field mustard). RNAcentral describes it as "long non-coding RNA (BRAP_LNC008392)". Lineage: Eukaryota; Viridiplantae; Streptophyta; Magnoliopsida; Brassicales; Brassicaceae. The record is from RNAcentral.